GCCCUUAUACAUGAGCAAAAUCUCAACUUUAUUAGAAGAGACGCAUUUAUUAGAUAAAAAGCCAAUGCAUGCUUUUACAGUAUGAAAAUUGGUGAUUUAUAAUAACUUAGCAAAUCGCAAAGUGAAAACAGGCGAUAAAUCAUUCAAGUUUCUGACCUAUCAGCUUUCGACGGUAUGGUAUUGGCUUACCGUGGCAGACGGUUAACGGGGGAUUAGGGUUCGAUUCCGGAGAGGGAGCCUGAGAAACGGCUACCAUCUAAGGAAGGCAGCAGGCGCGCAAAUUACCCAAUUCUAACAGUUUGAGAGAGGUUAACAAGAAAUAACAAUACAAGGCAGUUAAAAUGCUUUGUAAUUGGAAAUAGAAAUUUAAACCCUUUUUAAAGUAUCAAUUGGAGGGCAAGUCUGGUGCCAGCAGCCGCGGUAAUUCCAGCUCCAAUAGCGUAUAUUAAAAUUGUUGCAGUUAAAAAGCUCGUAGUUGAAGUUCUGCUAAAAGUAACCGGUCUGCUUUGAAUAAAAGUGGUAUCUUGGUAUGUAUUUAGCAAUGAUGUCCUUUGAAGUGUUUUUUACUCUAUUGUAAUAAAGCAUAUUCAGGACUUUUACUUUGAGAAAAUUAGAGUGUUUCUAGCAGGCUAACGCUUUGAAUACUGCAGCAUGGAAUAAUAAGAAGGGC
Molecule: ribosomal RNA, 670 nt
Filed under: Hepatozoon canis
Lineage: Eukaryota; Apicomplexa; Hepatozoidae
Description: SSU rRNA
Rfam family: Eukaryotic small subunit ribosomal RNA
Source: RNAcentral